RNAcentral lists this ribosomal RNA (467 nucleotides) under uncultured bacterium. RNAcentral's name for it is "partial 16S ribosomal RNA". It matches the Rfam family "Bacterial small subunit ribosomal RNA", at positions 28 to 523 of the family's 1533-position model. The record is from RNAcentral.
GACGAACGCUGGCGGCGUGCUUAACACAUGCAAGUCGAGCGGGAAACUUCGGUUUCCAGCGGCGGACGGGUGAGUAACACGUGGGCAACCUGCCUCACAAUGAGGGAUAGCCCUCCGAAAGGAGGAUUAAUACAUCAUAACACAAGAGAAACGCAUGUUUUUCUUGUCAAAGAAUUUCGUUGUGAGAUGGGCCCGCGGCGCAUUAGCUUGUUGGUGAGGUAACGGCUCACCAAGGCUUCGAUGCGUAGCCGACCGGAGAGGGUGAUCGGCCAAAGUGGAACUGAGACACGGGCAAGACUCCGACGGGAGGCAGCAGUGGGGAAUAUUGCACAAUGGAGGAAACUCUGAUGCAGCAACGCCGCGUGAGUGAUGAAGGUCUUCGGAUUGUAAAGCUCUGUCUUCUGGGACGAUAAUGACGGUACCAGAGGAGGAAGCCACGGCUAACUACGUGCCAGCCGCCGCCGUAA